UUGACAGUAUUCUUAUAAAAGCCUAUAAUAAAUUUGCUAAAAGAUUUACUGGUUAAUAUUUCACUAACUAUUAUAGAUCAUGAAAUGAAUGCCUUUAUAAUCUAUAAUAGUUAGUGAAAUUUUUUUUGACCAGUAUCAGGUAAUUUAAGUAGGAGGUACCAGCUAUGAACAAGGGUACAGUAAAAUGGUUUAAUGCAGAGAAAGGCUAUGGAUUCAUCACAGGAGAAGACGGGGCAGACGUAUUUGUACAUUUUUCAGCGAUCCAGGGUGAAGGCUUCAAGACUCUUGAAGAAGGCCAGGCUGUUUCUUACGACCUGACAGAAGGCGCCCGCGGAAUGCAGGCUUCUAAUGUUGUAAAGCUUUAAUCCAG
Molecule: small RNA, 370 nt
Filed under: chicken gut metagenome
Description: cspA thermoregulator
Source: RNAcentral